UAGUAGUUAAACUUGGUGUUGUAUUUAUUUGUACAAUUAAAAAUGGUUUUGCUUUUGUAAAAGAGAGUUAUUGACCUCCAUUCAAUUAUGUGGGAUCUUGUGAAUUGGUAGUUAAUAGAGAUGUUAUUUUUAAGUUGAACUAAUAUUACUUUAUUCUAGGGAUUUUCAAAAAACUACACAAAAUUUCACAACUAUUUUAGGAGAAGUAUCAUUUGGUCAGUCUAUAAAGCCAUAAUGCUUACUGGUGGAGUAAUAGAUGUAAACGUACUUGCAUCCAAUUCUCAUCAGGGGAGAAAGAGUUCCACAUAGAGGUAGAAGCUGACGAAAUACCUGAGAAACUAAGGAACACUCUAUUUCUGUUGUGCCUUGUCUUCUUUAAGGGAACCAGCUACAAUACAAAGUACAGUUUAUUUGGGUAAAUCAAGAUAAUAAUGCUGAGGUCAAACUGUGAGUUUCAACUAUUAAGGAAACAACAACGUUUAAUGCUUGAUAUGAAGUGUUGUCGUAUUGCAUUUGAUGGCAAUGUUAUCAUUAUCACAAGCCAACUUAUUGUUUCUUCCAGGGACUUCUGCUGAUUAUUAUCAACUAAAAGUAUCAAAAGAAAACAGGCAAGCUUCCAUUGAUAUUUUCUUGAAGGCAAAUGGAUACCUGGAUUGUGCUAUCAGACAUGUUCUCCCUCAGUUGCCAUCUGAAAUCAGAUUGGAGCAGAAAUUUGCCCGACAGAAGGAGUUUGUCGACCACUUUGUUUGCAAGCAUUAGGAACUCAUCUUGGACAUAAUUUAUGUCUAUUGUGGUUGCAUUAUAAUUUUAAUCUUUUGAUAAUCUACAGUCUAAGCUAAUGAAUCCCACGAAAAAAACAUAGAUACAACUUUUUUUAUUAUAUAUUUUUUUUAACAUUUAAAUUAAUACAUAAUUGUAUUUUAUUCCCACAAGUAAAGCUGCGGGCUUGAAAUCUAGUUAUAUAGAAACUUUUAACUGAAUUUGAUAUCACAGAUGACACAAAUUUAUUCUGUGAAUCAACUAAGGUCUUAUUUGGAUUUAAAAACGACUCGGUGAUGUGUGUUUAAUGGUACAAAUUGUCACUUUUUGAUUUGGGUAACAAUUUUGCAGCCUUCCAU
Durio zibethinus is the source of this 1118-nucleotide non-coding RNA. Lineage: Eukaryota; Viridiplantae; Streptophyta; Magnoliopsida; Malvales; Malvaceae. The record is from RefSeq and is a predicted model, not a curated record.